AGUGAACGCUGGCGGUAGGCCUAACACAUGCAAGUCGAACGGCAGCACAGUAAGAGCUUGCUCUUACGGGUGGCGAGUGGCGGACGGGUGAGGAAUACAUCGGAAUCUACUUUUUCGUGGGGGAUAACGUAGGGAAACUUACGCUAAUACCGCAUACGACCUACGGGUGAAAGCAGGGGAUCUUCGGACCUUGCGCGAUUGAAUGAGCCGAUGUCGGAUUAGCUAGUUGGCGGGGUAAAGGCCCACCAAGGCGACGAUCCGUAGCUGGUCUGAGAGGAUGAUCAGCCACACUGGAACUGAGACACGGUCCAGACUCCUACGGGAGGCAGCAGUGGGGAAUAUUAGACAAUGGGCGCAAGCCUGAUCCAGCCAUACCGCGUGGGUGAAGAAGGCCUUCGGGUUGUAAAGCCCUUUUGUUGGGAAAGAAAAGCAGCGGGUUAAUACCCCGCUGUUCUGACGGUACCCAAAGAAUAAGCACCGGCUAACUUCGUG
RNAcentral lists this ribosomal RNA (492 nucleotides) under uncultured bacterium. RNAcentral describes it as "partial 16S ribosomal RNA". It matches the Rfam family "Bacterial small subunit ribosomal RNA", at positions 29 to 507 of the family's 1533-position model. The record is from RNAcentral.